This 399-nucleotide ribosomal RNA is filed under the name uncultured bacterium. RNAcentral describes it as "bacterial SSU rRNA". It matches the Rfam family "Bacterial small subunit ribosomal RNA", at positions 29 to 416 of the family's 1533-position model. The record is from RNAcentral.
AACGAACGCUGGCGGCGCGCCUAAUACAUGCAAGUCGAGCGAGAAGACGUAGCAAUACGUUUGUAAAGCGGCGAACGGGUGAGGAAUACAUGGGUAACCUACCCUCGAGUGGGGAAUAACUAGCCGAAAGGUUAGCUAAUACCGCGUACGCUCCUUGGACUUCGGUUCAGGGAGGAAAGCGAUACCGUGGGUAUCGCGCUCUUGGAUGGGCUCAUGUCCUAUCAGCUUGUUGGUGAGGUAACGGCUCACCAAGGCUUCGACGGGUAGCUGGUCUGAGAGGACGAUCAGCCACACUGGCACUGCGACACGGGCCAGACUCCUACGGGAGGCAGCAGUAAGGAAUAUUGCGCAAUGGGCGAAAGCCUGACGCAGCGACGCCGCGUGGGGGAGUGGAAGGUC